GCCGACGUAGCUCAGUGGUAGAGCAAUGGUUUCGUAAACCAUAGGCCGCCGGUUCAAAUCCGGCCGUCGGCU
Molecule: transfer RNA, 72 nt
Filed under: Chloroflexota bacterium
Lineage: Bacteria; Bacillati; Chloroflexota
Description: Chloroflexi bacterium tRNA-Thr
Rfam family: tRNA
About the family: Transfer RNA (tRNA) molecules are approximately 80 nucleotides in length.
Source: RNAcentral